GACAGGGGUGCUGGUGUAAACCGGCUGAGAGUAAGGUAAACAGACCUUUAACCCGUAUACCUGAUCUGGAUAAUGCCAGCGUAGGAAAGUAGAUAUAC
This 98-nucleotide non-coding RNA is filed under the name uncultured Muricomes sp. The record is from RNAcentral. Lineage: Bacteria; Bacillati; Bacillota; Clostridia; Lachnospirales; Lachnospiraceae.